This 253-nucleotide ribosomal RNA is filed under the name uncultured bacterium. RNAcentral's name for it is "partial 16S ribosomal RNA". It matches the Rfam family "Bacterial small subunit ribosomal RNA", at positions 524 to 776 of the family's 1533-position model. The record is from RNAcentral.
UACGAAGGGUGCAAACGUUGCUCGGAAUUAUUGGGCGUAAAGCGCACGUAGGCGGCAUUGCAAGUCGGAUGUGAAAUCCCUCGGCUUAACCAAGGAAGUGCAUCCGAAACUGCAGUGCUUGAGUACUUAAGAGGAUCGCGGAAUUCCCGGUGUAGAGGUGAAAUUUGUAGAUAUCGGGAGGAACACCAGUGGCGAAGGCGGCGAUCUGGGAAGAUACUGACGCUGAGGUGCGAAAGCGUGGGGAGCAAACAGG